This 68-nucleotide transfer RNA is filed under the name Phycis blennoides. Its description in RNAcentral is "tRNA-Ser". RNAcentral also lists the same sequence under 1 other name. Lineage: Eukaryota; Metazoa; Chordata; Actinopteri; Gadiformes; Phycidae. The record is from RNAcentral.
GAGAGAGGCCCGCCGGCAAUGAAAACUGCUAAUUAUCACCCCCUUGGUUAAACCCCAAGGCUCCCUCG